This 5097-nucleotide long non-coding RNA is filed under the name Salmo salar (Atlantic salmon). Its description in RNAcentral is "lncRNA (ENSSSAG00000115300.1)". Lineage: Eukaryota; Metazoa; Chordata; Actinopteri; Salmoniformes; Salmonidae. The record is from RNAcentral.
GAACAGGACGUACCGGACUGGGCAGGCGCACUGGAAGCCUGAGGCGUGGGGCUGGCUUUGGAGGCGCCAGACUAGUAACACGCACCUCAUGGCUAGUGCAGGGAGCAGGAACAGGACGUACUGGACUGGGCAGGCGCACUAGAGGCCUGAUGCGUGGGGCUGGCUUAGGAGGCGCCAGACUAGUAACACGCACCUCAUGGCUCGUGCGGGGAGCAGGAACUGGACGUACUGGACUGGGCAGGUGCACUAGAGGCCUGAUGCGUGGGGCUGGCUUUGGAGGAGCCAGACUAGUGACACGCACCUCAGGGCUAGUGCGAGGAGCGGGAACAUGACGUACUGGACUGGGCAGGCGCACUGAGGCCUGAUGCGUGGGGCUGGUGUUGGAGGCGCCAGCCUAGUAACACGCACAUCAGGGCUAGUGCGAGGAGCAGGAACAGGGUAAACUGAACCGAGGAGAUGCACUGGUGGCCAGAUGCGCUGCGCCGGCGCACUUCUCCCUGGCUGCCGGCUAACUCUCGCCUGGCAACGUUGCGGAGCCCUUAUUGACCGCACCGGACUGUGCAUGCGUAUGGGCGACACAGUGCGUAUCUCCGCGUAUCUCCGCAUAAUAAGCAUGGGGAGUUGGCUCAGGUCUCCAUCCUGACUCUGCCCAACUCCCCGUGUGCCCCCCCCCCCAUUUUUUUUUUGGGGGGGGGAUGCCUCUCGGCCUCAUCUAGCUCCCUUAGUUUCCUCUCCCAGAAACAUUGUUCUGCCUCCCACGUCCAUCCUUCUCUUCGGUGCUCCAAUCCCCGCUGCUUGGUCCUUGUUUGGUGCUCCAAUCCCCACUGCUUGGUCCUUGUUUGGUGCUCCAAUCCCCGCUGUUUGGUCUUUGUUUGGUGGGUGGUUCUGUCACGGGCGUCGUAAGGAUUGGACCAAAACGCAGCGGGUAAAGUGCUCAUCUUCUUUCUUUAUUAAAGAAAACACUUAAACAAAAUAAACUGACGACGAAAACAGUCCAGUAAGGUGCACAGACUAUACUGGAAACAACCACCCACAAAACACAAGAGAAAACAAACCCAACUAAAUAUGGCCUCCAAUUAGAGACAACAACAACCAGCUGCCUCUAAUUGGAGGUCAUUGCCAAAAACCAACAUAGAAAUAGAAAACUAGAUAAACACAUAGAAAUAGAUAACAUAGAACAUAAACCAAAAACACCGAAACACACAAAACAAACACCCCCUGCCACGCCCUGACCAAACUACAAUAACAAAUAACCCCUUUUACUGGUCAGGACGUGACAAGAUCAUCGUUAUUGUCACUAAAAGGACAUCAGAUAGACAGACUUCACCAUAGUAAACAGUAAUACAGCAUAAUUGCUACAUGCAGUAAGUCUACUGGUUAAGCAAUAUAAUGGAUAUUUUCAGAACAGAAUUAAUCCCAAACAGGACUAACCAAUGCAAUGGCAGAUUGUGUCAAAUACACAGCUGUCCCGCACGCCACUACCCCCCUUCAUCUCCUUCCAAGGGCUCCCCCUCCAGCACCUUCCAAUGGCUCCUCCUCUAGUGCCCUUCUAAUUGCUCCCCCUCCAGCUCCUUCCAAUGGCUCCCCCUCCAGCUCCUUCCAAGGGCUCCCCCUCCAGCUCCUUCCAAGGGCUCCCCCUCCAGCACCUUCCAAUGGCUCCCCCUCCAGCUCCUUCCAAGGGAUCCCCCUCCAGCUCCUUCCAAGGGCUCCCCCUCCAGCUCCUUCCAAUGGAUCCCCCUCCAGCUCCUCCCAAUGGCUCCCCCUCCAGCUCCUUCCAAUGGCUCCCCCUCCAGCUCCUUCCAAUGGCUCCCCCUCCAGUUCCUUCCAAUGGAUCCCCCUCCAGCUCCUUCCAAUGGAUCCCCCUCCAGCUCCUUCCAAUGGAUCCCCCUCCAGCUCCUCCCAAUGGAUCCCCCUCCAGCUCCUUCCAAUGGAUCCCCCUCCAGCUCCUCCCAAUGGAUCCCCCUCCAGCUCCUUCCAAUGGAUCCCCCUCCAGCUCCUUCCAAUGGCUCCCCCUCCAGCUCCUUCCAAUGGAUCCCCCUCCAGCUCCUCCCAAUGGAUCCCCCUCCAGCUCCUUCCAAUGGAUCCCCCUCCAGCUCCUCCCAAUGGAUCCCCCUCCAGCUCCUUCCAAUGGAUGCCCCUCCAGCUCCUUCUAAUUGCUCCCCCUCCAGCUCCUUCCAAUGGCUCCCCCUCCAGCUCCUCCCAAUGGAUCCCCCUCCAGCUCCUUCCAAUGGAUGCCCCUCCAGCUCCUUCUAAUUGCUCCCCCUCCAGCUCCUUCCAAUGGAUCCCCCUCCAGCUCCUUCCAAUGGAUGCCCCUCCAGCUCCUUCUAAUUGCUCCCCCUCCAGCUCCUUCCAAUGGCUCCCCCUCCAGCUCCUUCCAAUGGCCUGCAGGUAAAGUUCAGAGCCUGAGCCUAAGAUAACGAUCGUCCUCACAAUAUAGGCCAUAUUAGCAUCAAAUUAACCUUUGGGACUGGAGGAGGAGAGAGAGGAGGAGAGGGGCAUGGACUAGAGGAGAAAGGGUCAAACUGACUCUCACCUCUCUCUUCUCCUCCUUCUUCCCUCCUUUCCCUCUUCUUUCACUCAUUUCUAUUGAACUGUCUUUAAGUGGAUGCCCUCCCUGGCCCCAGCUGUGUUUUCUCUCCCUCCCCUCCCUCCAAUUGUCCACGUUUAUUCCUCUCCUUGGCACAGGAAGCACUAACACAGCACUAAUGCUGACCCAGCUGAGAAUGCACUUUCUCUUUCUCUCUCUCUCUCUGCCUGUCUCUCUCUCUCCCCCUCCAUCUGCUUCCCUCUCUCUCCUACCCUCUCUCUGUCAUUCUCCCUUCACCCGUUUUUCCUUGACGUUCUUUGAGCUGCCUGAAGAUCGCUCUCCAUCCCUCCUCCCCUCGUCUUCCCCUCCUCCCCCACGUUUGCCUCUCACUAUCAGAGCACAGCACAUGACCCCAUCAACCCCCCAUGCACCCUGGAGAUAAAAGUCACAGUCCCUGUCCUCCCUGCCUCUGACCCCACCCCCAGCAGAGAACCAUGUCAGUGUAUCUAGAAUGCUCUGAUUAACUGCCCUCCGUGGAAUAAAUUAAUACACAUCUCUCUCUGUCAGUAAAUAUAGGCCUUAUCGACCUCAGCAAAACCCUCAAGCAGAGCAAUAUUUGCUCAUAGGAUACAGACCCUUGUCACUAUCCCCCAUCCCCCCACCACUGCACACACACACUGACACACUCAUCUGCUAGUACUGUCCCUACACACACACACACACACACACACACACACACACACACACACACACACACACACACACACACACACACACACACACACACACACACACACACACACACACACACACACACACACACACACACACACACACACAAACACUCUCCAUCUCCUAAUAUUCCUCAUGACUGACUCUGGGACCGCUGGCUGAAGGCCUGUUGAUGCCUGAAUAGGUUGUUUGGGCUGCUGCUACAGUACAUCGUAGUCUGUUCCAGUCAGUCAGUCAGUGGACUGCUAGGCAACAUGUCUAUCCAGGCCCUGGAGCUUUACAAUAAGUCCAAUCAUUAGCAGUAGAGGGUUUUAGAAUGACUCCACUCAUCAUGACCCACUCAGUUCUGCCUCUCCAGAAACAGUUUGUAGUCUAGCUGUGUUGAUGCUGUCAGUAACCUGCCCCUAGUCUAGCUGUGUUGGUGCUGUCAGUAACCUGCCCCCUAGUCUAGCUGUGUUGAUGCUGCCAGUAACCUGCCCCUUAGUCUAGCUGUGUUGAUGCUGUCAGUAACCUGCCCCCUAGUCUAGCUGUGUUGAUGCUGCCAGUAACCUGCCCCCUAGUCUAGCUGUGUUGAUGCUGCCAGUAACCUGCCCCCUAGUCUAGCUGUGUUGAUGCUGCCAGUAGCCUGCCCCUUAGUCUAGCUGUGUUGAUGCUGUCAGUAACCUGCCCCCUAGUCUAGCUGUGUUGAUGCUGUCAGUAACCUGCCCCCUAGUCUAGCUGUGUUGAUGCUGUCAGUAACCUGCCCCCUAGUCAAGCUGUGUUGAUGCUGCCGAUAGCCUGCCCCCUAGUCUAGCUGUGUUGAUGCUGUCAGUAACCUGCCCCCUAGUCUAGCUGUAAUGAUGCUUCCAGUAACCUGCACUCUAGUCUAGCUGUGUUGAUGCUGUCAGUAACCUGCCCCUUAGUCUAGCUGUGUUGAUGCUGUCAGUAACCUGCCCUCUAAUCUAGCUGUGUUGAUGCUGCCAGUAACCUGCCCCCUAGUCUAGCUGUGUUGAUGCUGCCAGAUCCUGCCCCCUAAUCUAGCUGUGUUGAUGCUGCCAGUAACCUGCCCCCUAGUCUAGCUGUGUUGAUGCUGCCAGUAACCUGCCCCUUAGUCUAGCUGUGUUGAUGCGUCCAGUAGCCUGCCCCCUAAUCUAGCUGUGUUGAUGCUGCCAGUAACCUGCCCCUUAGUCUAGCUGUGUUGAUGCUGCCAGUAACCUGCCACCUAGUCUAGCUGUAUUGAUGCGGCCAGUAGCCUGCCCCCUAAUCUAGCUGUGUUGAUGCUGCCAGUAGCCUGCCCCAUGUUGGGUACUAGCUAACACAUUCAUUUAAAAAGCUAAGCACAUCCCAGACCAACUCCAGCACUACUGGCUGAUUCCAGUAUGGCAGGCUGCUUAAAGGAAAGGGCCCCAAAAUCAUCUUUCCCGUUUCAGAGGACGGCUCCCAGCGGUAGGGGACAUGCCAGACUUCACUGCUGCUGCUAGGAUAACCCUCUCUCCUCUACCCCCCCCUCUCUCUCUCCCUCUCUCUCACCUCUACCCCCUCUUUCUCCUCUCUCUCCCUCUCUCCUCCCUUCCCUCCCUCCCUCCUCUCAUCUACCCUCCUCUCAUCUCCUCAUACCUUCCUCUCCCCCGUGUCCCCCAUACCCCAGCUCAGACUGCCUCCCCACUUCCGCUAAACCACGCUGCUACUCCUCCUAAUGGGAGACAAGGCUGUUAGAGCAACACGCCAUGCUUUACCUCUGCCAGCACGGACUGAACUCUCUCUCUCUCUCUCUAUCUCUCUCUCUCUCUCUCAGCACUGCCUAUCAAAGCAAUAUGCAAAUCCUCUUGCUUUCAAUCCUUCAUACCCUCCCACUCCAC